RNAcentral lists this ribosomal RNA (844 nucleotides) under Pseudoophiobolus rosae. RNAcentral's name for it is "eukaryotic LSU rRNA". It matches the Rfam family "Eukaryotic large subunit ribosomal RNA", at positions 75 to 937 of the family's 3401-position model. The record is from RNAcentral. Lineage: Eukaryota; Fungi; Ascomycota; Dothideomycetes; Pleosporales; Phaeosphaeriaceae.
UUGCCCUAGUAACGGCGAGUGAAGCGGCAACAGCUCAAAUUUGAAAUCUGGCUCUUUUAGAGUCCGAGUUGUAAUUUGCAGAGGGCGCUUUGGCGUUGGCAGCGGUCCAAGUUCUUUGGAACAGGACGUCACAGAGGGUGAGAAUCCCGUACGUGGUCGCUAUCCUUCGCCGUGUAAAGCCCCUUCGACGAGUCGAGUUGUUUGGGAAUGCAGCUCUAAAUGGGAGGUAAAUUUCUUCUAAAGCUAAAUACUGGCCAGAGACCGAUAGCGCACAAGUAGAGUGAUCGAAAGAUGAAAAGCACUUUGGAAAGAGAGUCAAAUAGCACGUGAAAUUGUUGAAAGGGAAGCGCUUGCAGCCAGACUUGCCUGUAGUUGCUUAUCCGGACUUUUGUCCGGUGCACUCUUCUAUAGGCAGGCCAGCAUCAGUUUAGGCGGUUAGAUAAAGGUCUCUGUCACGUACCUCUCUUCGGGGAGGCCUUAUAGGGGAGACGACAUGUAACCAGCUUAGACUGAGGUCCGCGCAUUUUGCUAGGAUGCUGGCGUAAUGGCUGUAAGCGGCCCGUCUUGAAACACGGACCAAGGAGUCUAACAUCUAUGCGAGUGUUUGGGUGUCAAGCCCAGACGCGUAAUGAAAGUGAACGGAGGUAGGAACCCUUUGGGUGCACUAUCGACCGAUCCUGAUGUCUUCGGAAGGAUUUGAGUAAGAGCAUGGCUGUUGGGACCCGAAAGAUGGUGAACUAUGCUUGAAUAGGGUGAAGCCAGAGGAAACUCUGGUGGAGGCUCGCAGCGGUUCUGACGUGCAAAUCGAUCGUCAAAUUUGGGCAUAGGGGCGAAAGACUAAUCG